Molecule: long non-coding RNA, 950 nt
Organism: Macrosteles quadrilineatus (aster leafhopper)
Lineage: Eukaryota; Metazoa; Arthropoda; Insecta; Hemiptera; Cicadellidae
Exons: 2
Source: RefSeq, a predicted model, not a curated record
UUAAAAAGCAUUUUCAGUCCUUGUUUAACAUUAACACGUUGACUGCUAACGCCGACUCUAGUCGGCGUCGCUAGCACUUCAAUGUGGCGCGCGCCGACGAAGGUCGGCACCAGACCAACAGAAAUAGACGUUAUAAUCGUUGCCAGCCUGCCAGCUUAGAAUGCGAGCUUUACUUUGGUGUAGGUUGGUACUAAAAUUUCCCGUAAAAUCCUGUCUGGCAAUGCUUUUGUCCCGGUUUCGGGGAUUUUUUCUCUUCAACCCACAUUACAAAGACACUGGAUACGGAUCCGUGCAGUGCUGCUACCUUUGGGUGUUUCAGUGAACUACAUCCACUCUCGGGGUAACGCAGCACAGUCACCACUGCUCUUUUGUGAUUCGUCAGACUGAAAUAUUUGAAUGCCAAUUGCGUUCGCUGAUUCGGUUGCGUGCCGGGGCUUCGCCCGCCACUGGGAGCGCCUGUACGUUGUUUUCAGCAGUCAUCGUGUUAACUUAUGAUGUGCUGUGGCGGUUAAGUUUUUAUAUUUGGAAAAAAAUACACUUUAAUCAACUUACAGCACUGUUCAAGUUUCAGAGUUACCUAUGGUGACAGAAUAAUACAAGGCAUGUUAUUUAAGUAAGUACUGUUUUUAAAUUUCUCCGUUUCAGUGCUGCGAUUGGCAUUUUGGACAUUUGUGCUGUGUAUGUGGAUGUAUUGGCAAGCCUGCGCUGGAAAUUCGGCACAAAUCGGCUGUGUUUACAUCCGGUUUAGAGCAUUCAAAACGGUGCCGCCAAUUGAGACUGCCGUCGCCUGUGAAGUUUGCGCUGUACCGGAUAUCAUGACAGAAGAAUGCAGAAGGGUUGCUCAGCUCUUAACUUCGCCUUAUAAUCUUUAUUUAUUUCAAUUGUGUUGUAAGAAGUAUUUUUUAAACAGUAAAACUUUCUCCAAUUUAUAGACUACCUAUUAUGAUUCA